Anolis carolinensis (green anole) is the source of this 1222-nucleotide long non-coding RNA. RefSeq lists it as uncharacterized. The record is from RefSeq and is a predicted model, not a curated record. The transcript has 2 exons. NCBI's taxonomy places the organism in Eukaryota, Metazoa, Chordata, Lepidosauria, Squamata, Anolidae.
AUAUUUUUCUGUGCGUGUAAAAGAGAAGGGGGUGAUAUACAAAGCAAUCCUAUAUAUGUUGUCUUGUGAAAAUGAUGUCAUGUUGAAGUCAGUAGAACAUAUUUCCAGGACUCAGACCAGCAAACAACAUAAAAAACAAAUAUUCAAUGCCAACAAGUACAUACAUACAGAUUUAAAACCCAACUAAAAUAGAGCAAUUUAAAACGGCUGUGGAUAGUGAGAUCCGAGCCAUAGAUAGUGAAAUCUGAAGCACGGAUACUGAAUUCUGAUAUGUUGUCAGCGGUACUGGUAAUAGGCUACCAUGACUCCGCCAUGAUUGGCUGAGCCCUGUUGAUGUCAGAGAGUUUUCCCUGCAGAGGCUGGACUGCAGCGCUCACUGGCCAAUAGGAAGGCGUUCCCUGCUUCUAAUGCAGAUGGAUCGCUCUCCAGUGGCUGACGAGGGGCAGGACGGAAACUCCAGAUAAAGAAGACACCGUUUUAUGAGUGGAUGACAUUGUCCCAACUCCAGGAUGGACAAAGUGCGGCCCUUGGGUCCCAUAAGUUUUAUUGUUGUGAUUAUUUUUUUUAUGAACCCCUGGGUAUUGAGGGGGACCCGACGACUGCGAAGAACCUGGACAUCUGCUGGGGAAGCUAGUGUGUCACAGAGUUAUUGGGGCAAAGGUGAAGGGACAAGCAAGACAUAAAAAGUAUAUCUAAAAAGGGAGAAAUACAGAGGUUUGUGGGAUUUCCGGCUCCUACAGUGGCGGGAGAGGUUUUAACAAACAAGCUAACCAGCAAAUGAGUGAAGAAGUGUAUAGCUGACAAACCACUCUAAAUUAGUGCCUUAGGCAUCAGUGCAAUUGACUAAAAAAAAUCACAAUGGAUGAUAUUUGGAUUGUUCCUCUGUCGAAGAGUCCAGAUGUAAUGUAUUUCACUCAGUACUCAAAUCCCUUUAAUAUGCUUCUGAAAAGUUUAAGUGGAAUUCAAGUGAAACAUAAGCUUGAUACUAGAAAUCGGCAGGCAGCAAAUUUCAGCCACCAUGUCUGUUCUCAGGGGAUAUUUUCAAGAGGGAAGAAGUAUGUUUAAGAAGAAGUCAAGUUUGCCGUGGAAUAGUUAUCUGCUCAAUGAAAUUCAGGCAACAAUAAAAUCUACUUUAUGUAAAAGCAAGACAUAAAGGAAGAAACAUCUCUUCCAAAUUCAUAACAGUUGGCUAGCAAGGUUCAAUAAAUUCCCAGUGAAGAGA